AAUUCUCAACUGCCUUUUAGCAUUUAUGUUAAGGUGAAGUUGGAGUUGGAGGAUAAUUGCUGGCGCAACUUAGGUUGCUUGUUAGCUCCUCUUAAAUGGAUGAGCUUUUCUGAUAGAUCAUAGCUCAGUAAUACUAAUGUGAUAAUUAUCUACAUUAGAUGUGAAAGCUGUGAGUAGAGUAACUUUAAUUAUGAAGAAGCUCCUACAGAAAGGGUGUGUUUUGGGGAUAAUAAACCCAUAACUUAUGACAA
Molecule: unclassified non-coding RNA, 251 nt
Filed under: uncultured Thelephoraceae
Lineage: Eukaryota; Fungi; Basidiomycota; Agaricomycetes; Thelephorales; Thelephoraceae
Description: sequence contains ITS2
Source: RNAcentral